GGGGACAGGGUGACAGGUGGUGCAUGGUUGUCGUCAGCUCGUGUCGUGAGAUGUUGGGUUAAGUCCCGCAACGAGCGCAACCCUCGCCCUUAGUUGCCAUCAUUCAGUUGGGCACUCUAGAGGGACUGCCGGUGUCAAACCGGAGGAAGGUGGGAUGACGUCAAGUCCUCAUGGCCUUUAUGCCCAGGGCUACACACGUGCUACAAUGGGCGGUACAAAGAGCAGCGAGCUCGCGAGAGUAAGCAAAUCUCAAAAAGCCGUCCUCAGUUCGGAUUGGAGUCUGCAACUCGACUCCAUGAAGUUGGAAUCGCUAGUAAUCGCGGAUCAGCAUGCCGCGGUGAAUACGUUCCCGGGCCUU
RNAcentral lists this ribosomal RNA (358 nucleotides) under uncultured Syntrophaceae bacterium. RNAcentral's name for it is "bacterial SSU rRNA". It matches the Rfam family "Bacterial small subunit ribosomal RNA", at positions 1022 to 1382 of the family's 1533-position model. The record is from RNAcentral. Lineage: Bacteria; Pseudomonadati; Thermodesulfobacteriota; Syntrophia; Syntrophales; Syntrophaceae.